ACUACGAGGUCAAGAUGCGCUCGGUGAUGAAAUUCCUGGAGGAAGGCGACAAGGUCAAGGUCACGCUGCGCUUUCGCGGCCGCGAGAUGGCGCACCAGCAGCUCGGCAUGGAGCUUUUGAACCGCGUCGUCGGCGAUGUCGGCGAUGCCGGCAAGGUCGAAUCGAUGCCGCGGCUUGAAGGCCGCCAGAUGGUGAUGAUGAUCGCGCCGAAAUAAGCGCCGCGAUCUGCGCCACGACUCGAGGCCCUCCCCGCGGAGGGCCUUUUGCUGUCCCCCCCAUGCUGUCACUGCCCAUGCUGUCACCGGCUCGUGACAGG
This 316-nucleotide unclassified non-coding RNA is filed under the name Rhodobacter capsulatus. RNAcentral describes it as "Long range pseudoknot". The record is from RNAcentral. Lineage: Bacteria; Pseudomonadati; Pseudomonadota; Alphaproteobacteria; Rhodobacterales.